CAUGGCCUCUUGCAACCCGCAAAUAAGAGGUCCAACCUGCCCAGUGACAAUAAGUUUAACGGCCGCGGUAUUUUAACCGUGCUAAGGUAGCGUAAUCACUUGUCUUUUAAAUGAAGACCCGUAUGAAAGGUGUCACGAGGGCCCUCCUGUCUCCUACUUCAAGUCUAUGAAAUUGAUCUGCCCGUGCAGAAGCGGGCAUACCCACAUAAGACGAGAAGACCCUGUGGAGCUUAAGACUACAACCAAUCAUGCCUAGUAACCCACCCUCCAAACGGCACAAAAGGUCCAAUAAGCUUAAUGACAAUGGUUUACUGUCUUCGGUUGGGGCGACCAUGGGGGACAGAAAAGCCCCCAAGAAGAAGCAGGGGACAAUUACACCGAUCCCUAAGAGUCAAGAGCUACAACUCUAAACAACAGAAAUAUCUGACUAAUAAUGAUCCAGGUAACAAACCUGAUCAACGGACCAAGUUACCCCAGGGAUAACAGCGCAAUCCUUUCCCAGAGCCCAUAUCGCCGAAAGGGUUUACGACCUCGAUGUUGGAUCAGGACAUCCUGGUGGCGAAAAUUCUACCAAGGGUUCGUUUGUUCAACGAUUAAAGUCCUACGUGAU
RNAcentral lists this ribosomal RNA (610 nucleotides) under Petrocephalus mbossou. RNAcentral's name for it is "partial 16S ribosomal RNA". It matches the Rfam family "Bacterial large subunit ribosomal RNA", at positions 1814 to 2604 of the family's 2925-position model. Lineage: Eukaryota; Metazoa; Chordata; Actinopteri; Osteoglossiformes; Mormyridae. The record is from RNAcentral.